UGCUAGUUAGCUGUGGGACUGUGUGAUUAUAGACAAGAUACUACCUAGUUAGCUGUUUGUUUAGCAAUACCUUAUUGACACUUUGCUGCAAAGUAUUUUGCUUCAGGCUCUCAUGUCCCCUGUCUGGCCAGACUGGAAGUUUCUGAAGUCAGCUCUUCUCCAUCCACCACAAAUGCAUUUUGUUGAACCAACAUGACUUUAUUAUAUUAUUUUAAAGCUAUUAUUUUAUGUAAAAUAUAGUAUAACUAUUACAGGAGAGCUUUGGCAUACUUCAUAUGAAGAUUGUAUUUUUGCAAGCUGAUCUAUUAUUUACGUAAAACAUUUUGUAUAUCCCUAAACUGCCUAGUACUUUACAUAAACAUUUGCAGAAAGUUUUAGAAACUUUUCACACAGUUUGGAAUCAAUCAGUAAUUCCUGGUAUCCAGGAUCAAGUUUUCACAUUUUUCCAAGUUUUCCAGCUUAUAGAGUUAUCAAACCCCUGAAGGAGUGUGUAAUUGGGAAAAACACCAAUAUGCAGACCAUGAGGGGGACUUGUGCUCUAUCUAUCUUUGCCUUAUACUUGCAAAUUAAAGUAUGAUUGUCACUCAAAAUGUUAAUGAACAUGAAAUAAAUAAAUAGAAAUUUAAAUUUUAAAAAGUUUUAAGUGUGCUUUGUUUGUGUCAUUUUUAUAAACUAACUAAUCUCCGGACAUUAGCUGGGAAAGGGCGAAUGCAUAGGCCUAUUAGUCAAAUAGAAACGUUAGUAAAGACCCUCUGAAAAUAAAAGAAAGUUUAAGACCUUAAGGGAAAAAGAUCUGCGUUUUAAAACUGGAAGACAGGAUAAGCAGAAAUCCAGCUUGUUUGGUGGGAGGAAGUGGAAGCUGCCCAUUUCAGAACCGGAAGAACCUUCAUUAGGAUAUUUUGGUACAGUGAGUGGAAGAGUCAGUGUUCAGGACUUCAAUCAUGGUUCUGGAAAACCGGAAUGUCUCCGCUACAGAUGGAAGGUUCUGGUACCAGCUUGGCAAACUAAAGUAAAGGAGAAAAGAAAGGAGGACAUGGACAGUAAAGAGGACAGCCAGCAACAAUGGGAUUCUGCCUACCACCUCUUUACCACUCGCCAUGAGCGCUCCCAUCACUACAGAGUAGGCCACAAUACUGCCGGGCAGAAAAACAUACUGAGUUGCCGCCAUUCUUUCGAAUUGGUCAGUUCUUCGCGCCUGACACUCUGGCUGAAACUCCUAUUUUUUAGAAAGGUAAACAGGAGGAACUACAGUUUGUAUGUUUUGAAAUGGUCUUAUUUUUUUUUUUACACUUU
Molecule: long non-coding RNA, 1293 nt
Filed under: Astyanax mexicanus (Mexican tetra)
Lineage: Eukaryota; Metazoa; Chordata; Actinopteri; Characiformes; Acestrorhamphidae
Description: lncRNA (ENSAMXG00005015373.1)
Source: RNAcentral